Molecule: long non-coding RNA, 2566 nt
Organism: Oncorhynchus tshawytscha (Chinook salmon)
Lineage: Eukaryota; Metazoa; Chordata; Actinopteri; Salmoniformes; Salmonidae
Source: Ensembl
CUCUCCUGUCUCCCCCUGUCUGGUACAUGUACCUCGUCUGCCCUCUCCUGUCUCCCCCUGUCUGGUACAUGUACCUCGUCUGCCCUCUCCUGUCUCCCCCUGUCUGGUACAGGUACCUCCACCACACUCACCCCUCUCUCUCUCUCUCUCUGGCCUGUCUCCCCCUGUCUGGUGCAGGUACCUCCACCACACUCAUCUCUCUCUGUCUCUCUGUCUCUCUCAAAUCCUAUUCUAACCACCUCUCGUAUUCAUGUUACCUGAUGAAAUUGCUGUAUAAUAUGAUCUUGUUGCCUUCUCAUGCACAUUCAGAUAUCAUAAAUCAACACUGCAGAGCUCUCUCUGCCGUGCUUUGAUUGUUUUACUGCUGAUGAUAUCUGGGAAUGUGUAUGUACACCCUGGCCCAUCAGCAGCUAGCCCCAAUUCUGACUUGUGCUCUAUUUGCUUCACUGAUUUAUGCUCUCGUAAAUGUCUGGGUUUUCUGCACGUUAACGUUAGAACCUUAUUACCUAAAAUGGAUCAAUUUAAGGUGUGGGUUCACAGCUCCAAUCCAGAUGUGUUGGUCAUUACUGAGACGUGGUUAAGGAAGAGUGUUUUGAAUACUGAUGUUAAUCUUUCUGUUUAAAACCUUUUUCGGCAAGACGGAUCUUCCAAAGGUGGUGAAGUGGUAAUCUUUACCAAGGAUCACCUUCAGUGCUCGGUUGUCUCCACCAAGUCUGUCCCCAAACAAUUAGAUUUUCUGGUUUUAAGCAUUAAACUUUCAAAUAGUUAUUUGUUGACUGUUGCUGGGUGUUAUCAUCCUCCAUCAGCCCCAGCCUGUACCCUACCUGCCCUAAGCUCUCACCUAGAAAAGGCUACUCUCCUCGAUGUUAUCCUCAAUAACCCUGAUGGGUAUCAGUCUGGUGUUUUCUGUAAUGACCUUAGUGAUUACUGAUUUACAGCCUGUGUUCGUGAUGGCUGAUCAGUGAAACAACCUGUCCUGAUUUUGUCAUAGACGCUUGGUAAAAAAACGUCCUUCCUUCAUGAACUGGCCUCUGUAAAUUGGUAUAGAAUCAGCUUGAUCCCCUCUGUCGAAGACGCUUGGACCUUCUUUUUUGAUAUUUUCAGUGGUGUUCACAAACACCCCCAUGAAGAAAAUGAGAAUUUAAAAACAGGUUCAGCCCCUGGUGCGACCGUGAUCUUGCAGAGUUACUCCACCAGAAGAAUCUCAUUUGGCAAAAGGCUCAGCCAGACAUACUCAGGCUGACUGGCUCUCGUUCAGGCAAAUGAGAAAUAAGUGCACUCAGGCUAUCCGGAAGGUCAAAGGUAGUUACUUUAAGGAGCAGUUCUCUCUCUGUGGGUCUCACCCCAAGAAGUUCUGGAAUAUGGUUAAAGACCUGGAGAAUAAACCCUCCUCCUCACAGCUGCCCAUGUCCCUUUAUGUUGAUGAUGUGGUUGUUACUGACAAGAAGCACAUGGCUGAGCUCUUUAAUCACCACUUCAUUAAGUCAGGAUUCCUAUUUGACUCUGUCAUGGCUCUUUGCCUGUCCAACAUUUCCUCAUCUCCCACCCAUUCUAAUGUGACUAGGCCGAUGCUCCUCUUUUUCCCCUGCCCCGCUACAAAGAUUCUCCCUGCAGGCGGUCACUGAAGGGGUGUCCACAUACUUUUGGCCAUAGUGUUUAUUUCUUCCACCUCCCUGAUAUCUGUCCAUUCCUCUCUUUCACAGUUCUCUCACUACUUUGACUCCACCUACUCCUCCUCCUUUAACCGUGAAGAGAAGAGACCCAUCUACAGCUUGAGGAAGGAGUCCAAGAGUUUCCUGGGCCAGCAGCUGGAGUUAGACCUCCCCCAAGAGGGACUACACCAGUCACACACACACCACACCACACCCCGUCUGGGACUGUGACGCUGCAGGAUGCUAGGGGACAGCAGGAGAACACAGCAGGCAGAGCAGCAUCCUUCUGACCCCUCAAUAAAUACUGAUAAGAGUGGUUCACUUUUAGUAGUGCAUCAGUGAAUGUGGACUACUGUGUGUGUGUGUUUUACUGUAUUUGCAGCCUUUGGAGCCAAAUGUUCUUUUGGAUCAACUCCCCCUGUUCCCUCUCUUACCCCAUCUCCCCUCGUCCCCUCACUCACUCCCACUCUACCCCCCCACACUCUCUCUCUGUGUCUCUCAAAUAGCAUUGUAGUUUUUUUUUGUAAAUUCUUUCAGUGUCAAGUAAAUCUCUUUGUUUUCCUCAUGAUUGGGUUGGGUCUAAUUAUGUUGCUGUGUUGGGGCUCUGUAGGAAGCAAAUCAAAUUUUAUUUGUCACAUACACAUGGUUAGCAGAUGUUAAUGCGAGUGUAGCGAAAUGCUUGUGCUUCUAGUUCCGACAAUGCAGUAAUCCAGCUAACAAUUCCAAAACUACUACCUUAUACACAAGUGUAAAGGGAUGAAGAAUAUGUACACAAAGAUAUAUGAGUGAUGGUACAGAGCGGCAUAGGCAAGAUGCAGUAGAUGGUAUCGAGUACAGUAUAUACAUAUGAGUAUGUAAACAAAGUGGCAUAGUUAAAAGUGGCUAGUGAUACAUGUAUUACAUAAAGAUGCAGU